This 440-nucleotide ribosomal RNA is filed under the name uncultured bacterium. RNAcentral's name for it is "partial 16S ribosomal RNA". It matches the Rfam family "Bacterial small subunit ribosomal RNA", at positions 338 to 795 of the family's 1533-position model. The record is from RNAcentral.
CCUACGGGAGGCAGCAGUGGGGAAUAUUGCACAAUGGGCGAAACCCUGAUGCAGCAACGCCGCGUGAGUGAAGAAGUCUUUCGGUAUGUAAAGUUCUAUCAGCAGGGAAGAAAAUGACGGUAUCUGAGUAAGAAGCACCGGCUAACUACGUGCCAGCAGCCGCGGUAAUACGUAGGGGGCAAGCGUUAUCCGGAUUUACUGGGUGUAAAGGGAGCGUAGAUGGCGAUGCAAGUCUGAAGUGAAAGCCCGGGGCUCAACCCCGGGACUGCUUUGGAGACUGUAUGGCUGGAGUGCUGGAGAGGCAAGCGGAAUUCCGAGUGUAGCGGUGAAAUGCGUAGAUAUUAGGAAGAACACCAGUGGCGAAGGCGGCUUGCUGGACAGUAACUGACGUUGAGGCUCGAAAGCGUGGGGAGCAAACAGGAUUAGAUACCCCAGUAGUC